RNAcentral lists this ribosomal RNA (253 nucleotides) under uncultured bacterium. RNAcentral describes it as "partial 16S ribosomal RNA". It matches the Rfam family "Bacterial small subunit ribosomal RNA", at positions 524 to 776 of the family's 1533-position model. The record is from RNAcentral.
UACGUAGGUGGCGAGCGUUGUCCGGAUUUAUUGGGCGUAAAGCGCCCGCAGGCGGCUCGAUAAGUUUCAGGUGAAAUCUCCUGGCUCAACUGGGAGGGGUCCUGGAAAACUGUCAGGCUUGAGGCAGGGAGAGGGAUGCGGAAUUCCCGGUGUAGUAGUGAAAUUCGUAGAUAUCGGGAGGAACACCGGUGGCGAAGGCGGCGACCUGGGUCGAUACUGACGCUGAUGCGCGAAAGCGUGGGGAGCAAACAGG